GUUCCGGUCUCGCGCAAUGGAAGCCUGUGAACCAUGUCAGGCGGGGAACCGAGCAGCAUUAAGCGGGACGAUAUGUGCCGCGAGGGCGCCGG
This 92-nucleotide signal recognition particle RNA is filed under the name Oscillospiraceae bacterium. RNAcentral's name for it is "signal recognition particle sRNA small type". It matches the Rfam family "Bacterial small signal recognition particle RNA". From Rfam's summary of the family: The signal recognition particle (SRP) is a universally conserved ribonucleoprotein involved in the co-translational targeting of proteins to membranes. Lineage: Bacteria; Bacillati; Bacillota; Clostridia; Eubacteriales; Oscillospiraceae. The record is from RNAcentral.